GAAAUGCGAUAAGUAAUGUGAAUUACAGAAUUCAGUGAAUCAUCGAAUCUUUGAACGCACAUUGCGCCCGCCAGCACUCUGGCGGGCAUGCCUGUUCGAGCGUCAUUUCAACCCUCAGAACCCCUUGCGGGAUCUGGCGUUGGGGAUUGGCAUCCAGCCAGCCCCGAAAUCUAGUGGCGGUCCCUCCGCGACCUCCCCUGUGCAGUAGCGAUACCUCGCAGCGGGACAGCGGUCUGACCACGCCGUAAAACCCCCAACUUCUCAAGGUUGACCUCGAAUCAGGUAGGAAUACCCGCUGAACUUGAGC
This 307-nucleotide unclassified non-coding RNA is filed under the name plant metagenome. Its description in RNAcentral is "partial contains 5.8S ribosomal RNA, internal transcribed spacer 2, and large subunit ribosomal RNA". The stretch from base 1 to 105 matches the Rfam family "5.8S ribosomal RNA", at positions 50 to 154 of the family's 154-position model. The record is from RNAcentral.